ACAGAGGGUGCAAGCGUUAAUCGGAGUUACUGGGCGUAAAGGGCGCGUAGGCUGGUAUUUAAGUCAAUUGUGAAAUCCCUGGGCUUAACCUAGGAAUUGCAGUCGAUACUGAAUAUCUUGAGUAUGGUAGAGGAAAGUGGAAUUCUCGGUGUUCGGUUUUCAUACGUAUAUCUCGAGAUGAACCCCGGUGGCGCAGGCGACUUUCUGGACCAAUACUCUCUCUAGUCCGCGUAACCGUUGUUAACACCCAG
RNAcentral lists this ribosomal RNA (251 nucleotides) under uncultured prokaryote. RNAcentral describes it as "partial 16S rRNA". It matches the Rfam family "Bacterial small subunit ribosomal RNA", at positions 525 to 775 of the family's 1533-position model. The record is from RNAcentral.